RNAcentral lists this small nuclear RNA (193 nucleotides) under Nasonia vitripennis (jewel wasp). RNAcentral's name for it is "U2 spliceosomal RNA". It matches the Rfam family "U2 spliceosomal RNA". Rfam says of the family: U2 is a small nuclear RNA (snRNA) component of the spliceosome (involved in pre-mRNA splicing). Complementary binding between U2 snRNA (in an area lying towards the 5' end but 3' to hairpin I) and the branchpoint sequence (BPS) of the intron results the bulging out of an unpaired adenosine, on the BPS, which initiates a nucleophilic attack at the intronic 5' splice site, thus starting the first of two transesterification reactions that mediate splicing. Lineage: Eukaryota; Metazoa; Arthropoda; Insecta; Hymenoptera; Pteromalidae. The record is from Rfam by way of RNAcentral.
AUCGCUUCUCGGCCUAUUGGCUAAGAUCAAAGUGUAGUAUCUGUUCUUAUCAGCUUGAUAUCUGAUACGCUCCUCAUUGAGGAGCCAGAAUAUCGAACUGAUUUUUGGAAUAUGGCGGAGUGUCUGGGGCUUGCUCCGACUCCGCCGCGGGUCGACCUUGCAUUGCAGUACCGCAAGGAACGGCCCACACAAU